Molecule: unclassified non-coding RNA, 910 nt
Filed under: Hevea brasiliensis (rubber tree)
Lineage: Eukaryota; Viridiplantae; Streptophyta; Magnoliopsida; Malpighiales; Euphorbiaceae
Source: RNAcentral
AAAAAAAAAAAAAUCAUGGGAUCUCUCUAUACCAUUCGCAUGGUUGUUGGAGUCAUUGGAAAUGGUGCUUCUUUGCUGCUUUAUGCUGUUCCCAUAUUGACAUUUUGGAGGGUUAUGAAGAAGAAGAGCACAGAGGAAUUUUCAUGUGUUCCAUACAUUGUUGCCCUAAUGAAUUGUCUUCUUUACACUUGGUAUGGUCUACCAAUUGUAAGCAAAGGAUGGGAAAAUUUCCCUGUUGUCACCAUUAAUGGCCUUGGAAUUCUUCUUGAGUUACUCUUCAUUUUCAUCUACUUUUGGUUUGCUUCAUCUAAAGAAAAGAAGAAAGCGAUUUUGAGAUUGGUGGGAGUUAUUACAAUAUUCAGCUGCGUGGGAUUGAUCUCUGCUUUGGUUAUAAAAACUCAUCACCUUCGUAAGCUUUUUGUGGGAUGCAUUGGCCUCGUUGCUUCUAUUGCUAUGUAUGCCUCUCCAUUGGUCGCCAUGAAGCAAGUGAUAAAGACAAAGAGUGUCGAGUUUAUGCCAUUUUACUUGUCUUUCUUUUCAUUCUCGGCAAGUUCCUUAUGGUUGGCUUAUGGACUCCUUAGUCAUGAUCUCUUCCUUGCGUCUCCAAAUCUAGUGGGAAGCCCAUUGGGAUUGCUUCAACUCGUGCUGUAUUGCAUAUAUAGGAACAAGGAACAUGAACAAGAAGUUAUGAAGAAGGAAAAAGGAGGCGUUGUUAUAGGGACUGUGGCCAAUUGGGACUUGGAAAAGAAUAAUAAUCAAGAUCACAUUCCACACCAAAAUACCUCUUAAAUUUACUACAAACAAUUUAAUCUAGAUGAGUGAUUACUCAAUGAAACCAAAGGUACUUCAAGUGGCCUAUACAUUUAAAACCACUCAUUACGAGUUGUUUAAGUGUAUUAUCAUGUACGAG